GUGCCAGCCGCCGCGGUACUACCGGCAGCCCAAGUGAUGGCCGCUGUUAUUGGGCCUAAAGCGUCCGUAGCUGGCCGCGCAAGUCCGUCGGGAAAUCCAUCAGCCCAACUGAUGGGCGUCCGGCGGAAACUGCACGGCUUGGGACCGGAAGGCUCGAGAGGUACGUCCGGGGUAGGAGUGAAAUCCCAUAAUCCCGCACGGACCACCGAUGGCGAAAGCACCUCGAGAGGACGGACCCGACAGUGAGGGACGAAAGCCAGGGUCUCGAACCGGAUUAGAUACCCGUGUAGUCC
This 293-nucleotide ribosomal RNA is filed under the name uncultured bacterium. RNAcentral's name for it is "partial 16S ribosomal RNA". It matches the Rfam family "Archaeal small subunit ribosomal RNA", at positions 455 to 747 of the family's 1478-position model. The record is from RNAcentral.